GGACCCGCACAAGCGGUGGAGUAUGUGGUUUAAUUCGAUGCAACGCGAAGAACCUUACCAGGGUUUGACAUCCUGCGAAUCUCUUGGAAACAGGAGAGUGCCUUCGGGAGCGCAGUGACAGGUGGUGCAUGGCUGUCGUCAGCUCGUGUCGUGAGAUGUUGGGUUAAGUCCCGCAACGAGCGCAACCCACGUCUUUAGUUGCCAGCAUUUAGUUGGGCACUCUAGAGAGACCGCCGGUGAUAAACCGGAGGAAGGUGUGGAUGACGUCAAGUCAUCAUGCCCCUUACAUCCUGGGCUACACACGUACUACAAUGCUACGGACAAAGAGCAGCAAGUUCGCGAGGACAAGCAAAUCUCAUAAACCGUGGCUCAGUUCAGAUCGUAGGCUGCAACUCGCCUACGUGAAGGCGGAAUCGCUAGUAAUCG
RNAcentral lists this ribosomal RNA (426 nucleotides) under uncultured bacterium. RNAcentral describes it as "bacterial SSU rRNA". It matches the Rfam family "Bacterial small subunit ribosomal RNA", at positions 917 to 1344 of the family's 1533-position model. The record is from RNAcentral.